AAAAUGCGAUAAGUAGUGUAAAUUGCAGAAUUUAGUAAAUCAUCAAAUCUUUAAACGCACAUUGCGCCCUUUAGUAUUCCUUAGGGCAUGCCUGUUCAAGCGUCAUCUAAACCUUCAAGCACUGCUUAGUGUUGGGUGCCUGUCCCGCCCCCGCGCGUAGACUCACCUUAAAUCCAUUGGCGGCCCUCACGUCAGCUACGAGCGCAGCAGAAACGCAAACUUGUAGACCCAGCGGAGUGGCUCCCAGAAGCUACAUUCACCAUUUUAACCUCAGAUCAGGUAGAGAUACCCGCUAAACUUAA
This 302-nucleotide unclassified non-coding RNA is filed under the name uncultured fungus. Its description in RNAcentral is "sequence contains ITS1". The stretch from base 1 to 105 matches the Rfam family "5.8S ribosomal RNA", at positions 50 to 154 of the family's 154-position model. The record is from RNAcentral. Lineage: Eukaryota; Fungi.